AUUAGAGUGGUUGGUGCUUUUGGGGUGAGGGAUAAAGGGGAAGUUCAGGUUUCACCUUUCCUGGAGCUCACAGCACUUACUGGAGCUUGAGGGGUGCAGAGGUUUGCAUGAAGUCUCACUAAAAUGGCUUGGUGAAACCAGAACUAUCCUAUGCAAAUGAAGCUAGAACUCUUCCCCCUGAGCUGAUUACCUGUGGAGAUGGCAGUCUCUGGGGCAACCAGACUCAGAAGCCCUCCCAGCACAGUCGCCCUCCAUAUGCUCGUGUGCAGUCUCGUGGAAGUGUGUAAGGAGGCAAAUACCUACCCCACCCUGGACAGGCAAAGAAACCAAGCUCAGAGAUCCUGGGACUCUGGUACCGGGGAUCGAACUCAUCGAACUCACGACUGGCUGCUUGCAAGGCAGGCGCUUAUGCCGCUGAGCUAAAUCCCCAGCCCCCAAAACACAUGAGUCUUCAGAAGCCCCAGAGAACUUCCCAGUUGAGCUCCAACUGCAGUACCUUGAGUGACCGCUCUAUAGCUGAAAUGCUCAGCUUUUCAGGAAAAAAAAAAAACACCACCUCAUGUCUAGAACUCUGUCGCCCUCAGCUGUCUGCCACGUUUUGCCCGGUCUAUGGUAAGAUGAACACCCAUGGAGACUGACACCCAAGCACCUCCUGGGCCUUCCUAGGAAAAGUGACUCCUGUCCCUUAGAAACAAGACUCUUACUGCUUCCUCCUCCAGGAAGAGAGGGACUUUAUUGUACUUUUCUCGAGACCUACGGGUGUACAGUGGCAUUUAACCACCUGUUUGAACUCUCACAGCAUCAAUAAGAAGCCAGGCUUUCUUAUCUCUGGUUUAUGGAAAGCUGGCAAAGGUUAAUGAAAUAAUCCAAGAUCACCAAGUUGCUAGGCCACAGGAGAGUCUUUGAGACUCCGUUCAUUUGAUUCUAAAUCCAGACACACAUCUCAUCAGCUCAGAACUCCUGCUGGCCUGGAGGCAGCAGCCUUUCCUUCAGUGCUGCGUCUGCUCCCCAUCUGGCCUAGCCAGGGAGGCGUUGUUAUUGAGCUUAGGGAUGGUGAUAAGAAACACAUGACCUUGCUUUCCCUGCUGUCCCCCUGAAGUUGCCAUCUCUUGGGAACCUGAAGACUCUUUCUAAGGCUGGUGGGGUGACCUUCUUGCUGCUCCUGUGACACGCUAGUAGGAGACAUGGACUAAAACAGGAGCUGGUGAGCUCUGACACUGGUGCACCUUCCCCAGCCAGCGCCAUCUGCUAUCUUCUUUAAAAAUGUGGAAAUGUGUUUCUGAAUUAGUGCUCCAGCAACAAAAAUGAGUCUGAAGUGGUAGGAUCAUUAGAAUAGGGUGGAGACAGGAGAGAGGGCAAUCAAUACUUGAUUAUAAUCUCUCCCGAGGUUUUCAAAGGGAUGGAUAUGGGAGAAGGGAAGCUUUUAAGGAGAAGGAUGGUACAUAAAAAUGACUCCAGAAAAUAACUGUUUUUACAUUUUAUGGGGAGAGAAAACACAGCAUUCCUUUUAGUAGAGAGAAGUGAUAUUUAAAUAAUUUAGCCAACUUCUUUCCUUAGGGGACAUGCAGAAUAGCAGCAUCUCCUCAACUCUCUAGAACAGGAUCCAUUUUUAGUUUCCUUAAAGAGAAAAGUGCUAAAAUAAGAAAGGAAGAAAAUGACCUGGUGAAAACUCUAAAUCAGAAUCAGAAGACCGGUGUGUGUCCUCCUGUGCCACCUGCUGGUUCUGUGACAUCAAACAAGUUUCUUCUUCCUUCCCAGAGGUCUUUGCCUUCCCAUGUGGAAUGAUGGGAAAGAGGAAACAUUUUGGUUUGGGGCCCACAGUCAUGGAAUCCAAAGCUCUAGAUACACAAGGACUCUGUCACUGCCAUCAAGGUGCUCUGAGGUCCUUCCAGCAGCCAGAGUGACCUCCAAGUGGAAUUGGAAACAUCUGAGCUACAGGUUCUUCUUUGGAGUGCAGAUUAUGUAGUCAAAUUUCACAUGAAUUUUACAAAAAUUAGACCAUUAGUGUUAAGUGGUUAUAAAUUGUCAGCAGAAUCAUGAUUAGUGAAGGACAGUGAUCACAGUUCACAGUGAUCCAUUCUUUGGGUGUUUAACACACACUCUCUCUCUAAAGUAUUACUAGGGAUUGAAGGACCUCACAAUGAGGUACAUCCCCAGCCUUUUAUUAAAUUUAUUUGUUUUGAGACAAGUUCUUGCUUACUUUGCUAAAUUUCCCAGACUGGGCUUAAAUUUGGGAUCCUCUUGCCUCAGUCUCCCAAAGUGCUGAGAUUACAGGUUAGCUCACCUUCCGAAGAUGGCACACCCUCACCCUGCUUCAUGUCCUGAGCCCUCACCAAGGCCCUGUAGAGUUUGAAGGCAGCUGUGGUACCCACGCUCCCAAUGCAUAGAGAUAGCAGUUGAUACGCUUGUGUUGGUGGGCUGUUAUUAACACAUGAAAUUUGAGUUAGCAGAGAUGCUAAGAGAAUUCUGCAGUGUUUUUCUCAGCAGCUAAUUGGUUUGCUGUGCUCAGCCUGAGCUCCCAGCUAGAUGCCUUGGAACCUCCCCCAGUACUCGAGGAGUCUUGAUAAAGUGCUGGUGUGUAGGUGGGAGAAUGACUAAGGGAACAAUCAACUUGCUAUGAGAAACAGAGCAAAACUGCUCUUGACUUUCAGGCAGUAUAUUACCAAAUCUGAGAGGGGUUCACAACACACACAACUGGUUGGCAGUUAGGAUAUAACGACUCAAUAUUAUUAAUAUACAGGCAGUACACAAGUGAGACAGGGUCUCUAACCCUUCUGGGGUGGGUUUUCUGACUGCCUCCUAAGAAAGCCUCCUUCUGAAAGCCUCCUAAGAAAUCUGAACUGUGGACUGCUAAAGUUUCUACACAGGACCAUUCCUGCAAUUUAUACCACCGUGUCAAUGACUUUGUUUUUUCUCAGAAUAAUUUUGUGGAUUUGUUCCUGGUUGCCUGGUACAGAAAAGCUGAUUUUGUUAUUCUUGUGUUUUAAACAUUUAAUGUCUUAUCUAAAUAAUGUAUUUACAUAGUUGACAAACUGAAGUAGAUUGGGGAGCCCGAGGCAGGAGGAUUGCAUGUUGGAGCUAAUCCUGGGCAAUUUAGCACCUUAAUGAGAUCCUGUCUCAAAAUAAAAUAAAUGAAGAAAGGGCCCACAACUUAGCUCAGUGGGACGGUCCUGCAUUCCAUCUCCAGUAUCACACACAAACGUAAUGUAGGACAAUAAAUCUGACAGCAACAGCAGAAACCACAACAAAGCACAGCAAGGCUGUGCCCUGCUCCUCAGCACUCAGACAUCUUGCUUCCUGGGAUGAACCGCGCUCAUUUGUGUGAGCUGCUUCUUUUGAUGUUGACCGUGAGACCUCUGACUUUCUGUGUCUGCAUUAUUUCCCUUCACACGAUAGUCUCAGAAGCACCUAUUUCCCUGUAAAUGGCAAGUAGCAGCCUCUUGCCUCCCUGAUAAUUCUAGGAGGGUGUAGAAAGGGCUGAGGCAGAGGAGGUAACGUUUCAGUUUCUAGGAGUCACAGGCAGCAUUUGAGGCCCCAGGCCUCCUGCAGAACUGGAUUCUGGGAGAGAAUCAUGGCUGCCACGGUGUGAGGGGACCAGAGUCCCAGGCUCGCCUGGGUGUCAGUACGGAUGACACCCUUCUCUCCCUCUCACUCCACUUCUUUUCUUUUUAGUCUUUGUUUUUAUGAGUAUAUUUUUUUGCCACAUAUAAUGAUCACAUUCAUCAUGGAGAAUCUGUAUGUGUACAUAAUCUAUCUUGAAUUUUUCCCUGUUCCCUUGAACCCUUCUUUCCCUCUCCAUUCUCAAAAGCUCUGUUUCCAUUUAUUUCCACAGGAUGGACAGUAUGAAUUUCAUAGGUAGUUCUGAAGAUUGAGGGAAAUUAUGGAGAGUAAAUAACCUGGCACAGUGUUUGCUUUCAGUCAUCUCUGGUCUGUUCAUUACCUUCCUUCAAAGUAGGACGUUCUUCUCUCCCUCCAGUCAUCAAAAGGUUUC
Cavia porcellus (domestic guinea pig) is the source of this 3991-nucleotide long non-coding RNA. RefSeq lists it as uncharacterized. The record is from RefSeq and is a predicted model, not a curated record. Lineage: Eukaryota; Metazoa; Chordata; Mammalia; Rodentia; Caviidae. The transcript is spliced from 4 exons.